This 406-nucleotide ribosomal RNA is filed under the name uncultured bacterium. Its description in RNAcentral is "bacterial SSU rRNA". It matches the Rfam family "Bacterial small subunit ribosomal RNA", at positions 28 to 425 of the family's 1533-position model. The record is from RNAcentral.
GAUGAACGCUAGCUACAGGCUUAACACAUGCAAGUCGAGGGGCAGCAUGAACUUAGCUUGCUAAGUUUGAUGGCGACCGGCGCACGGGUGAGUAACACGUAUCCAACCUUCCGUUUACUCAGGGAUAGCCUUUCGAAAGAAAGAUUAAUACCUGAUAGUAUGGUGAGAUUGCAUGAUAACACCAUUAAAGAUUUAUUGGUAAACGAUGGGGAUGCGUUCCAUUAGGUAGUAGGCGGGGUAACGGCCCACCUAGCCUGCGAUGGAUAGGGGUUCUGAGAGGAAGGUCCCCCACAUUGGAACUGAGACACGGUCCAAACUCCUACGGGAGGCAGCAGUGAGGAAUAUUGGUCAAUGGGCAGAGCCUGAACCAGCCAAGUAGCGUGAAGGAUGAAGGUCCUACGGAUUG